AGCCCGGUCGUCUAGCUGGACAAGGAUGGGGGGCUUUGGACCCCUCGACGGGAGUUCGAAUCUCCCCCGGGCUACCA
This 77-nucleotide transfer RNA is filed under the name Candidatus Bathyarchaeota archaeon. Its description in RNAcentral is "tRNA-Gln". It matches the Rfam family "tRNA". Rfam says of the family: Transfer RNA (tRNA) molecules are approximately 80 nucleotides in length. RNAcentral also lists the same sequence under 1 other name. The record is from RNAcentral. Lineage: Archaea; Thermoproteati; Candidatus Bathyarchaeota.